UAGGUAACCUACCUCAUAGCGGGGGAUAACUAUUGGAAACGAUAGCUAAUACCGCAUAACAGUAUUUAUCGCAUGGUAAAUGCUAAAAAGGAGCAACUGCUUCACUAUGAGAUGGACCUGCGUUGUAUAAGCUAAGUUGGUGGGGUAACGGCUCACCAAGGCCUCGAUACAUAGCCGACCUGAGAGGGUGAUCGGCCACACUGGGACUGAGACACGGCCCAGACUCCUACGGGAGGCAGCAGUAGGGAAUCUUCGGCAAUGGGGGGAACCCUGACCGAGCAACGCCGCGUGAGUGAAGAAGGUUUUCGGAUCGUAAAGCUCUGUUGUAAGAGAAGAACGUGUGUGAGAGUGGAAAGUUCACACAGUGACGGUAACUUACCAGAAAGGGACGGCUAACUACGUGCCAGCAGCCGCGGUAAUACGUAGGUCCCGAGCGUUGUCCGGAUUUAUUGGGCGUAAAGCGAGCGCAGGCGGUUUGAUAAGUCUGAAGUAAAAGGCUGUGGCUUAACCAUAGUAUGCUUUGGAAACUGUCAAACUUGAGUGCAGGAGGGGAGAGUGGAAUUCCAUGUGUAGCGGUGAAAUGCGUAGAUAUAUGGAGGAGCACCGGUGGCGAAAGCGGCUC
RNAcentral lists this ribosomal RNA (622 nucleotides) under uncultured Bacilli bacterium. Its description in RNAcentral is "bacterial SSU rRNA". It matches the Rfam family "Bacterial small subunit ribosomal RNA", at positions 118 to 727 of the family's 1533-position model. The record is from RNAcentral. Lineage: Bacteria; Bacillati; Bacillota; Bacilli.